UACAGAGGGUGCGAGCGUUAAUCGGAAUUACUGGGCGUAAAGCGCACGUAGGUGGCGACGUAAGUCGGGUGUGAAAGCCCCGGGCUCAACCUGGGAAUUGCAUUCGAGACUGCAUUGCUGGAGUACGGAAGAGGAGGGCGGAAUUCCCGGUGUAGCGGUGAAAUGCGUAGAUAUCGGGAGGAACAUCAGUGGCGAAGGCGGCCCUCUGGUCCAGUACUGACACUGAGGCACGAAAGCGUGGGGAGCAAACAGG
Molecule: ribosomal RNA, 253 nt
Filed under: uncultured bacterium
Lineage: Bacteria
Description: partial 16S ribosomal RNA
Rfam family: Bacterial small subunit ribosomal RNA
Source: RNAcentral